UGGGGAAUAUUGCACAAUGGAGGGAACUCAGAUGCAGCGACGCCGCGUGAACGAAGAAGGCUUUCGAGUCGUAAAGUUCUUUUAUAUGGGAAGAUAAUGACGGUACCAUAAGAAAAAGCCCCGGCUAACUACGUGCCAGCAGCCGCGGUAAUACGUAGGGGGCUAGCGUUGUCCGGAAUCACUGGGCGUAAAGGGUUCGCAGGCGGAAAUGCAAGUCAGGUGUAAAAGGCAGUAGCUUAACUACUGUAAGCAUUUGAAACUGCAUAUCUUGAGAAGAGUAGAGGUAAGUGGAAUUUUUAGUGUAGCGGUGAAAUGCGUAGAUAUUAAAAAGAAUACCGGUGGCGAAGGCGACUUACUGGGCUCAUUCUGACGCUGAGGAACGAAAGCGUGGGUAGCAAACAGG
RNAcentral lists this ribosomal RNA (403 nucleotides) under Fusobacteriota bacterium. Its description in RNAcentral is "Fusobacteria bacterium partial 16S ribosomal RNA". It matches the Rfam family "Bacterial small subunit ribosomal RNA", at positions 355 to 776 of the family's 1533-position model. The record is from RNAcentral. Lineage: Bacteria; Fusobacteriati; Fusobacteriota.